Molecule: long non-coding RNA, 392 nt
Organism: Equus caballus (horse)
Lineage: Eukaryota; Metazoa; Chordata; Mammalia; Perissodactyla; Equidae
Source: RefSeq, a predicted model, not a curated record
CCUUGUGUACCGAGGUGUGUACAUCAAGGCCCUCUUCGCUCCGCCCGAGGACGUGGGCCUACUUCGGGGAUCGUUUCCGAGUUAGAGCUGUCCUCAGGUCCGCCAGGAGUGCCGAGCCCAGGAGAAAGAGGGCGGGGUUCUUCAUUCUGCGUGUUGAUACUGCCAUAGUGAGCAAGAUCAAUAGCAGCCUGAUGACCUCAUUCUCUGAUUGACUUGGAAUCUAAAAAAGGGCUGUGCCGUUGACCCAGCUUCAACAUGUAGUGCUGGUGACACAACAUAUGGAAGGAAUAUGAGCCCCCGAGAGACUUCAUGGUGCAGAGCUGCGUGUCAGUCUAAACUGGCCAGACUGUUACAUGGCAGAGAAAUAAACUUCUGUCUUAUUUAAGCUACUA